AUAUAUAUAUUUUCCUAAACAAAUUUACUAAUACCAUAGAACUAUAGAUAUACAAACACAGCUUGGAAUUCCUCAGCAGCUACAAACACAGCUUGGAAUUCCUCAGCAGCUUCGGUGCCAAAACAUUUAGGGCUCAGAAGUUCUUUUUCCACGCAGUGUAUUUGACGCUUUGGAAUUACUCAGCAGCUUCGGUGCCAGAUAAAAAGAUAGAGUUAUUUUGUGGAGAAGACAUUUAGGAUUCAGUAGUUCUUUUUCCACGGUAAGACUUUUGCAAUCCUCUUUCAUUUUUCUCUCUAUAUGUUUCUAUUCAUCUAUGUACAUGUAGUUUCUUAUGUUUAUAUUCUAAAACUUAAAGCGUUAGUUUGUUGAACUAGGCUCUCAAGAAUGUUCGAUUAAGCUUCUUUGUUUGUAUUUUCUCUUCCCUUUAGCUUAAAAACUAUAUUGCGUUACAUUCUAGAAUGGAAUUGACAUGAUUAUUUCAAAUUAAAGAAGAAGAAAAAUAGAAUUACUAAUCUAAAGUGAUUGUGGGUUGUCCUAGAAGAAUGUUCUGUAUUGCGAUUUUUUGGUUGCAUGAUCUUUCUUUUAAUUUGAAAAAUAUAUUGUGACAAAUGCGAGUAGAGAAUGGACUAUUAACUAUUAACUGUUAAUUAUCAUUAGUUCCUUACUUUAUUAGUAAUAUUUUUGAUAGAAAUAUAUGGUAUAGCAUUGAAAUGACGCAUUAAUUUAUCAUAUACGGAUUAGAAACAAAAAAAUAGAAUUGGUAGUCCAAAGUGAUUGACGUAUGAUUAGGGAGUCCAUCAACCAAAGAGUUACACUAUAUUGCUGGCAUUAGGAACCAAGCUGACAUUCCUUGCUCUGGGUAUAUGCCUUUGGGUCUUGUUGCGCCCUUUCUAUGAGAAACCAGCAACCCUCAUUUCCUAGCACAGGUAACUUCCCAUUGUCCAUUUUAGAUGGUGCUCUGCUUACAAGGAAUCGACCAUCCUGUAUUCAUGCCGUGAGUAAUACCCCUGGUUAUGGUGUUGAUGGAUCAUGCCUGCAAAAUUCUUUAAACCUUCUUCAAAACACCAGCCAAGUAACAAGCAUUGUAUCAAACAUCUCCCUUCCAAUGAGAAAUGAAGUAAGAAAAUCUAGCUGUAUGCCUCAGUCUAAACUCAGUGGUUCGUGGGGCCAACAACAUUUUAUUCCAAGCUCAUGACCUGUUGGUCUUGUUUCAUCUCACACUUCUAAGAUCAACUAUGACAAAAAUGAAAAUUGUGUGGAGUGUGGUGCAACGCUCCACAACCUUCAGGACUUGGGAGGGCAUUGGGGUUCCCAUAACCAGGUUAGGAUUAAGGAGGAAAGAAUAACCAAACAACCAAGUGCUUUGCAUGUAGAUGCAGCCACGGUCCUAUCCAAGUUUGUGGAUAACUCUUGUUCUGCUCCAAAUGUUUUUACUGGAACAAGUCAUGUUUCAGAAGUCAAAAAAGAGAAGAUCGAAGAAAAUUGCUUUUCUGAUGAGGCCUCAUCAUUCCCUUUGGAAAAAAAGGUUAUAAAGAAGGAUUUUUUUCCAUUUUUUUGAGAAUCUGAAAAACGAGUCCUCUCAACUAAAGAAAAAUUACUAGAUGAUAUUUUGUAGAAAAGAACUUCUGUGAGCGGGAUUUUGAGAACGAAUGGAUUUUCUUCACCAAGUGAGUUAGAGAAGAAUCCAAGGCUCAGGUCCCAGCAAUAAUCAUUCUGAAUGAAUGUUGUCCGUGACUUUUAUCAAUUCAAAUAUUUUGUGUCUUCUUGAAGUAGACAGAGUUGGAAUUCCUGCCCCAGGAGACACAAUAUUGUUUAUUGGAAGUUUACUUGGUGUCGGAUGAAAGGAUGCAGCUUCCUACCCUGAAAAAAAAAAAAAAAAAAAAAAGAAA
This is a long non-coding RNA of Cornus florida, 1889 nucleotides long. RefSeq lists it as uncharacterized. The transcript is spliced from 2 exons. The record is from RefSeq and is a predicted model, not a curated record. Lineage: Eukaryota; Viridiplantae; Streptophyta; Magnoliopsida; Cornales; Cornaceae.